Molecule: ribosomal RNA, 253 nt
Filed under: uncultured bacterium
Lineage: Bacteria
Description: partial 16S ribosomal RNA
Rfam family: Bacterial small subunit ribosomal RNA
Source: RNAcentral
GACAGAGGGGGCAAGCGUUGCUCGGAAUCACUGGGCGUAAAGGGCGCGUAGGCGGGAUGGCAAGUCGGUCGUGAAAGCCUUCGGCUCAACCGAAGAACGUCGGCCGAUACUGCCGUUCUUGAGGGAUGCAGAGGAGACUGGAAUUCCCGGUGUAGCGGUGAAAUGUGUAGAGAUCGGGAGGAACACCGGUGGCGAAGGCGGGUCUCUGGGCAUCUCCUGACGCUGAGGCGCGAAAGCGUGGGGAGCAAACAGG